GACGAACGCUGGCGGCGUGCUUAACACAUGCAAGUCGAACGGAAAGGCCCUGCUUUUGUGGCGUGCUCGAGUGGCGAACGGGUGAGUAACACGUGAGUAACCUGCCCUUGACUUUGGGAUAACUUCAGGAAACUGGGGCGAAUACCGGAUAGAAGCUCCUGCUGCAUGGUGGGUGUUGUAGAGUUUCGGCGGUUGGGGAUGGACUCGCGGCUUAUCAGCUUGUUGGUGGGGUAGUGGCUUACCAAGUCUUUGACGGGUAGCCGGCAUGAGAGGGUGACCGGCCACAUUGGGACUGAGAUACGGCCCAGACUCCUACGGGAGGCAGCAGUGGGGAAUAUUGCAGAAUGGGCGGAAGCCUGAUGUAGAAACGCCGCGUGCGGGAUGACGGCCUUCGGGUUGUAAACCGCUUUCGCCUGUGACGAAGCGUGAGUGAAGGUAAUGGGUAAAGAAGCACAGGCUAACUAAGUG
RNAcentral lists this ribosomal RNA (468 nucleotides) under uncultured bacterium. RNAcentral describes it as "partial 16S ribosomal RNA". It matches the Rfam family "Bacterial small subunit ribosomal RNA", at positions 28 to 507 of the family's 1533-position model. The record is from RNAcentral.